This 673-nucleotide long non-coding RNA is filed under the name Zea mays. Its description in RNAcentral is "long non-coding RNA (ZMAY_LNC003054)". The record is from RNAcentral. Lineage: Eukaryota; Viridiplantae; Streptophyta; Magnoliopsida; Poales; Poaceae.
CAUGAGCGCCCUUUCUCCACUGCAUCUGCCUCCCUCUGCUCUUUCCCUUUGGAGGUGCUGCGCUCUAGCUCUGAUCCGAGCUCGCCCCUUCACUGCUCCUCAUGCCAUCGCUGCUUUUCCCCAUGGCUGAAACUAGCUCGCCCCCAUGGUACUCGUGCCCUCCUUUGCCAGCGCCUCCCUCAGUUCAUCUCUGUGUCAGCACUGUCGGGACAUCUCACCUAUUUUCCCUCCCCUAGCUGAACGCCCCUUGAUGUUCUCCUCAACGCCCCUUUGCUGUUCGACGGAAUGCCCAUGGAAAAUAUUGUGUUGUGCGCAGCCCCAUCCGCAACGCUGUUGAAACCCGUGGUGAGAAACCCCCCGCUGUCCUCGCUGUUUAUUUUUCUGAUGUGUGUGAUGUCCGAUGAACUGCCGCCAACAAAUUUGUGUGUUUUCGUAGCUAGUGGUCGACGUCGCGCUUCGAGCUUUGCCCGUUCGAUGAAAUGCCGAGCCAUGUGGACAGCCCAUGCGACUACUCCCGACUCGUUCAGGUUGAAUCCAUGUGAUUAAUUUACUUGCAAAUUUGUCAUUGUCAUGUAUAUAUAUGUGUGUGAAUAUGUUGUGUGCAAAUUGAAAUUCAUGGAGGAGAAAGUGGUACGUGUAGGUGAGUUUGCAAUUGGAAUGCCAACAAGUGUAU